Molecule: ribosomal RNA, 424 nt
Filed under: uncultured bacterium
Lineage: Bacteria
Description: bacterial SSU rRNA
Rfam family: Bacterial small subunit ribosomal RNA
Source: RNAcentral
GUGGGGAAUAUUGCACAAUGGGCGAAAGCCUGAUGCAGCAACGCCGCGUGAGCGAUGAAGGCCUUCGGGUCGUAAAGCUCUGUCCCAAGGGAAGAUAAUGACGGUACCUUGGGAGGAAGCCCCGGCUAACUACGUGCCAGCAGCCGCGGUAAUACGUAGGGGGCAAGCGUUAUCCGGAAUCACUGGGCGUAAAGGGUGCGUAGGCGGUCUUGCAAGCCAGGGGUGAAAGGCUAUGGCUCAACCAUAGUGAGCCUUUGGAACUGCCGGACUUGAGUACAGGAGAGGAAAGUGGAAUUCCUAGUGUAGCGGUGAAAUGCGUAGAUAUUAGGAGGAACACCAGUGGCGAAGGCGACUUUCUGGACUGUUACUGACGCUGAGGCACGAAAGCGUGGGGAGCGAACAGGAUUAGAUACCCUUGUAGUCC